CCUACGGGCGGCACCAGUAAGGAAUAUUGCGCAAUGGGCGAAAGCCUGACGCAGCGACGCCGCGUGGGGGAUGAAGGUCUUCGGAUUGUAAACCCCUUUCGGGAGGGAAGAUGGGAUGGGGUAACCCAUUCGGACGGUACCUCCAGAAGCAGCCACGGCUAACUUCGUGCCAGCAGCCGCGGUAAUACGGGGGGCAAGUGUUCUUCGGAAUGACUGGGCGUAAAGGGCACGUAGGCGGUGAAUCGGGUUGAAAGUGAAAGUCGCCAAAAACUGGCGGAAGACUCUCGAAACCAAUUCACUUGAGUGAGACAGAGGAGAUUGGAAUUUCGUGUGUAGGGGUGAAAUCCGGAGAUCUACGAAGGAACGCCAAAAGCGAAGGCAGCUCUCUGGGUCCCUACCGACGCUGGAGUGCGAAAGCAUGGGGAGCGAACGGGAUUAGAUACCCCUGUAGUC
Molecule: ribosomal RNA, 453 nt
Filed under: uncultured bacterium
Lineage: Bacteria
Description: bacterial SSU rRNA
Rfam family: Bacterial small subunit ribosomal RNA
Source: RNAcentral